Non-coding RNA from Pelobates cultripes (western spadefoot toad), 238 nucleotides. The record is from the annotation of a GenBank genome assembly. Lineage: Eukaryota; Metazoa; Chordata; Amphibia; Anura; Pelobatidae.
CUCAUCUACAGGUGCGAUUGCAUCAUUCACCUGCAGGAUAGUCACGUCAGGUGACUGACUAUUCCUAAAAUGUACCUCUAUUGAGUCAGGUCUUUCUUCUAUCACAUGGCAGUUACGAUCAGAUCGAACAUGUGAUUUCUCAUAGGUUAUGGGAACCUUAGCUUGUGACCAUACAAUUCCAUUCACACAGUCAAUAAUUGUGUUAAGUCUUCUGAGUAUGUCUAUACCCAGAAUCAGU